RNAcentral lists this long non-coding RNA (310 nucleotides) under Nicotiana benthamiana. Its description in RNAcentral is "long non-coding RNA (NBEN_LNC014640)". The record is from RNAcentral. Lineage: Eukaryota; Viridiplantae; Streptophyta; Magnoliopsida; Solanales; Solanaceae.
AGAGGGUUUUGAUGAAUUUGGUGUAUGGAAUAGGAAAGAGUAGGAGGAGAAGAGGAGCUAGUGAAUUUUUUAGGCGUUUUGGACGGUGGCGCGCGGCGGGGCAAAGGCUGCGACACGACUAGGGUUUGGGUUUGUCAAUUUUUGGUAGAGAUUUGGUGUAUUUGGGUUGUGGAUCUAGAAAGACGGUGAGGAGAAGAAAAGAACGGUGUAAUUUGAGUGUUUUUGGAGGAUGGCCGUCGCCCAUGGGCAAUUUACGACGGCGAAACUGGGCUGCGAUGUGCGGCAGUGGUAGGGGUCUAGGAGAAUAUAG